GACGAACCGUGCGAACGUUAUUCGGAAUCAUUGGGCUUAAAGGGUGCGUAGGCGGGCCGGAAAGUCAGGGGUGAAAGCCUCCUGCCCAACUGGAGAAGCGCCUUUGAUACUGUCGGCCUCGAGGGGUGCAGGGGCAUGCGGAACUCAGGGUGGAGCGGUGAAAUGCGUAGAUAUCCUGAGGAACACCGGUGGCGAAAGCGGCGUGCUGGACACCUUCUGACGCUGAGGCACGAAAGCCAGGGGAGCGAACGGG
This 253-nucleotide ribosomal RNA is filed under the name uncultured bacterium. RNAcentral's name for it is "partial 16S ribosomal RNA". It matches the Rfam family "Bacterial small subunit ribosomal RNA", at positions 524 to 776 of the family's 1533-position model. The record is from RNAcentral.